Molecule: ribosomal RNA, 1427 nt
Filed under: uncultured rumen bacterium
Lineage: Bacteria
Description: 16S ribosomal RNA
Rfam family: Bacterial small subunit ribosomal RNA
Source: RNAcentral
AGAGUUUGAUCCGGGAUUAGGACGAACGCUGGCGGCGUGCGUAACACAUGCAAGUUGAGCGACGACGUUUCCGAAGUGGCGACAUGGAGGGGACGAGCGGAGCAGCGGACGGGUGAGUAAUACAUGAGAAGCUGUCCUGUGGUGGGGGACAACGUCUGGAAACGGACGCUAAUACCCCAUAGUCUGAGAGGUUAAAGCCGAAAGGCGCCAUGGGAGGCGCUCGUGUCCUAUCAUCUAGUUGGUGAGGUAACGGCUCACCAAGGCGACGACGGGUAGCCGGCCUGAGAGGGUGUCCGGCCACACUGGAACUGAGACACGGUCCAGACUCCUACGGGAGGCAGCAGUGGGGAAUCUUCCGCAAUGGGCGAAAGCCUGACGGAGCAACGCCGCGUGAGUGAAGAAGGCCUUCGGGUCGUAAAGCUCUGUUGUCGGGGACGAAUGUGCGGAUUAUCAACAACGAUCUGCAAUGACGGUACCUGACGAGGGAGCCACGGCUAACUACGUGCCAGCAGCCGCGGUAAUACGUAGGUGGCGAGCGUUGUCCGGAAUUAUUGGGCGUAAAGGGAGCGCAGGCGGGAGGCCAAGUCCAUCCUAAAAGUUCGGGGCUCAACCCCGUGAGGGGGUGGAAACUGGUCUUCUUGAGUGCAGGAGAGGAAAGCGGAAUUCCUAGUGUAGCGGUGAAAUGCGUACAUAUUAGGAGGAACACCAGUGGCGAAGGCGGCUUUCUGGACUGUAACUGACGCUGAGGCUCGACAGCGUGGGGAGCAAACAGGAUUAGAUACCUUGGUAGUCCUCGUCAUUACGCGAUGAAUGUUAGGUGUAUGAGGUAUCGACCCCUCUUGUGCAGGAGUUCACGCAAUAAGCCUUCCGCCUGGGGAGUCCGGCCGCAAGGCUGAAACUCAAAGGAAUUGACGGGGGCCCGCACAAGCGGUGGAGUAUGUGGUUUAAUUUGAAGCAACGCGAAGAACCUUACCAGGACUCGACAUCCCCCUGACAGGGCUUUAAAAGUCCCAUUUUUCGGACAGGGGAGACAGGUGGUGCAUGGUCGUCGUCAGCUAAAGUCGUGAGAUGUUGGGUUAAGUCCCGCAACGAGCGCAACCCUUGCCAUUAGUUGCCAUCAUCAAGUUGGGCACUCUAGAGGGACUCCCGGGGACAACUCGGAGGAAGGUGGGGAAGACGUCAAAUCAUCAUGCCCCUUAUGUUCCAGGCUACACACGUGCUACAAUGGCCGGUACAGCAGGAAGCGAAGCCGUGAGGCGGAGCGAACCCCAAAAGCCGGUCCCAGUUCGGUCUGCAGGUUGCAACCCUCGUGCAUGAAGUGGGAGUUGGUAGUAAUCGCGGAUCAGCACGCCGCGGUGAAUGCGUUCCCGGGUCUUGUACACACCGCCCGUCACUCCAUGGAAGUUGGUCGUGCCUGAAGUCGUAAC